UGGCACGAUCUUGGCUCACUGCAACCUGCGCCUCCCAGGUUCAAGCAGUUCUCCUGCCUCAGCCUCCUGAGUAGCUGAGAUUACAGGCAUGCAUCACCACGCCCGGCUCAUUUUUGUAUUUUUAGUAGAGACGGGGUUUCACCGUUUUGGUCAGGCUGGUCUCAAAUUCCUGACCUCGUGAUCCACCCGUCUCUGCCUCCCAAAGUGCUGGAUUACAGGCGUGAGCCGCCUCGCCUGGACUAAUUUUUGUAUUUUUAGUAGAGACAGGGUUUCACCAUGUUGGUCAAACUGGUCUCCAACUCUUGACCUCAGGUGAUCCACUCACCUCGGCCUCCCAAAGUGCUGGGAUUACAGGCAUGAGCCUCCGCACCCCGCCAGUUUCACAAUACUUUUGAGCAUGGGCAUCAAAGUAUCCUCAAGGUUAAAAAUGUUGGGGUCCAAGCAUUCUACCUCUUUGAUUUGUAUGGUUUGAAUUAUGACUCAGCAUUUUAGGAACAUGUUGGCUCCAUAAUCUUUCACCCACACCCCACUUGAAAAAGAAGAUAAUUUUUCAGAUACACUUGCAGAUACAACUACAUAUUAUCCACAUCAUUUUUCUUGGAACUGAAAACUGGUUUUAUACUCAAACAUCCUAUUGGGCAACUGUCAAAUAAAUUAAUUCUGACAUUUGUUAAAAAUUGGAAAGAAAGACUUUAAUACUAUUGCAGUAGAUGUUAUGGCCAUUUUAAUAGGAUUCAAAAAUUGAUCACAACUCUGAACACAGACAACUCAGGAUUUAUAGUCAAUAGAAAGAAUAGAUCAGUGGAUAAAAAAUUACUGAGAGAAAUUUGAUAAAAUACCAAAAGAAGAGAGAUUGUUUUCCAACAGGAUUAUGGCUACAGGCAGGCUAACGACUUAAAUAUCAAGGAAGGGGAA
Molecule: long non-coding RNA, 915 nt
Filed under: Homo sapiens (human)
Lineage: Eukaryota; Metazoa; Chordata; Mammalia; Primates; Hominidae
Description: HSALNT0396828
Source: RNAcentral